UUUGUUAUGGUCCCUUCUGAAUAGCAAGACAUCUCAGAUUUGUAGCAUGCUCAGUUCGCUUUCUCCUUGUGAUCUCCCGUUCACUUAUCAUCAAUGGACUGACCCAUGCUUAAUCACUUUAGCCUUAUUCUUUAGAAACUGAUCAGUAUCUCUGUGUACACUCCAUCAGUUCUUUCUUUGUUUGGCAAAUACUACGAUCCUGGUUACUUCCAAGAUUGUUGUGUUUUGUUUGCUUGACAGCUAAUGCACUUGCUGACUUUCCUUAGUUAGUUACUGAAGUCUUCUUCUGAUCAACUUGUGGAAGACUUCAUCUCGAAUGGAUUCACAACUCAAUCUGGAUGCUGAUUAGGUUGGUGCUUAGAUCUUUCGUCAGCUUGCAUGCCAUUCGUUGAGUGCUCUUUGGUUUCUUCAGGUGGGAUGUAUCUUUGUAGCUUAGACCAGAGGCUUCAUUCCUUUGGAUAUUCUGGGAGUGCUCAAUAGUUGAGAAUAGUGUUUGCUCUACGAUUCUAACUUGGCAUUAUGAGCACAUCUGUUGAGGUCUUAGUUCGACACUCUAUGAUUCAGCUUUGGUUGUGCAGACACUAUGACUCUUAGAU
This 596-nucleotide long non-coding RNA is filed under the name Panax ginseng (ginseng). Its description in RNAcentral is "long non-coding RNA (PGIN_LNC007409)". The record is from RNAcentral. Lineage: Eukaryota; Viridiplantae; Streptophyta; Magnoliopsida; Apiales; Araliaceae.